This 902-nucleotide ribosomal RNA is filed under the name uncultured euryarchaeote. Its description in RNAcentral is "bacterial SSU rRNA". It matches the Rfam family "Archaeal small subunit ribosomal RNA", at positions 21 to 903 of the family's 1478-position model. Lineage: Archaea; Methanobacteriati; Methanobacteriota. The record is from RNAcentral.
GGGUACUGCUAUCGGAGUUCGACUAAGCCAUGCAAGUCUAACCCUAGGACUUCCUGGGGUGGCAGACUGCUGAGUAACACGUAGUCAAUCUACCCUAUAGACGGGGAUAACCUCGAGAAAUUGAGGACAAUACCCGAUAUUCCUCUUAUGCUGGAAUGCUUAGAGGUUUAAAUGGGCGGUGAAUUGGAGCCGUUCCGCUGUAGGACGAGACUGCGGGGGAUUAUGGUUGUUGGUAGGGUAAUGGCUUACCAAGCCGAUAAUCUCUAGGGGCCAUGAGAGUGGUGGCCCCCAGAAGGACACUGAGACAAGGGUCCUAGCCCUACGGGGUGCAGCAGGCGCGAAAUCUCUACAAUGCUGGAAACAGUGAUAGGGGGACUCCGAGUGGUGUCAGCUAAGCUGGCAUCUUUUGCCAAGUGUAAAUAGCUUGGAGAAUAAGGGUGUGGGCAAGACUGGUGGCAGCCGCCGCGGUAACACCAGCGCCUCAAGUGGUACCCACGAAUACUGGGCCUAGAGCGUUCGUAGCCGGCCAAGUAAGUCUUCUGUGAAAUAGUGUGGCUUAACCACACUGCGUGCAGGAGAUACUGCUAGGCUUGGGAACGGGGGAGGUCAGGAGUACGCCCGGGGUAGGGGUAAAAUCCUUUGAGCCUGGGCGGACUACCAGUGGCGAAGGCGCCUGACCAAAACGUGUCCGACGGUGAGGAACGAAAGCUGGGGGAGCGAACGGGAUUAGAUACCCCGGUAGUCCCAGCCGUAAAUGAUGCAGACUGUGGUGUUGCUGCAGAGUUAAUCUGUAGCAGUGCUGUAGCGUAGGUGUUAAGUCUGCCGCCUGGGGAGUACGGCCGCAAGGUUGAAACUUAAAGGAAUUGGCGGGGGAGCACCACAAGGGGUGGAUGCUACGGUUU